AUGCUGGCCGCGGCGGCAGAGCAGGAGGUGCCAGGGGGCAAGGCGGGGAGCAGCCAGGACCCCCCGGCCCCACCGGCGGCAGCAGGGGACCCCCAGGAGGGCCUGGCCUGCGCCGGCCAUGGGGCGGACGAGGAGGAGGCCCGCAAGAGGCCGCAGGCAGGGCUAGAGUCGAACACGAAGGCACCAUCAGAAAGCCUGGAGUCCCUCCGUCAAAAAUCUGACAGCGGCAUCGAUAUUGGAAACAAACUGGUAAAUGGGGCUGAAAAGGAAGUUUCAGAUAAACGUCCUGAAACGGCUGCAGCAGAGGGGCAGGCACCUCAGAGCGGCAGCGAGCAGGCGCAGGGGCAGGAGCACCAGCACACCCAGGGCCCAGCACCUGCGGGUGACAGCCCGGAGCCAGCGGCACGAGAAGCCCAGGGAAGGCGAGGUUCACAGGGCGGCCCGGAUGACGGGGUUCAGCAGGCCGGCAGCAGCACCGGUGUUUCUAAGGAGAAGGAACUCCUGGGGGAGGCUGCCCGGCUGGAGGAGGGGGCUGAGGAGGCGUGUGGAGCCAGCCUGGAGGCCAGCAGCCUCCGAGGCCAGGAGUCCUGGCACAGCACCCAGAGGGUCUCCAGAGAGGCCAGCUGGCAGUCCCUGGGGGCAGCCUCCUGCCGCAGCGCCCAGGAGGGGCUGGGGGGGGACCAAGCUUCCUGGCAGCAGCGGUGCCCGUCGCCGCUCAGCGCUGACUCCAACGAGCGGCUGGAGCAAGUGCGAAACGCAACGUACCAGGCCGAGGAGGGAGCGACCUGGAUAAGCAAACGAACGAGCAGACAAGUGACGAACAAGAGCCAGCAGACGAGCGCUGUGUGGAGCAGGAAGUCUCUGGCUGAGAUCCUGAAGUCCCCCACCCAGAAGUCCAAGAGCAUCAUCGAUGCAGAGAAGCAGUCGUUAAAGCGGGCUGAAAAAGAAACUUGGGAUAAAUGUUCUGAAACGGCUGCAGCAGAGGGGCAGCCCACAAGGCAGGCAUCGCAGCGCGGCAGCCAGCAGGAGGGGGCCCAGGGGUCACGGCAGCACAGCGAGCAGGAGGCACGGCGCGGCAGCCAGCAGGCACCGCAGCAGGCACCGCCUGGCUCCCAGCAGCCUGUACCAAAGGGAUCACAGCAACCUGAGGAACACAGAGAGGGAUCUGCACUGGUCUCUGAGAGCAGACUGAUCCUGGAGCUUGAGCUGCAGGCUGGCAAUCUGCAGGGAAUAGAACUUGUGGUGGAGGAAAACGAACAGAGCCAUGUGUUCUUUAUAGGCUUGACUGAAACAGCUCAGCAGAAAUACAAUAUUCUUUCACCGAGCGGAGAGAAUUUGUUGUGCAGUAUAGCAAGUAAAAUAAGGAGUCAUGGUGAGCAAACAAGUGACAAUUGGAUGAAAAAAAAUCUGGAAACAGCAGAAAAAGUGCUGUUCCAGCGUUCCACUUCUGCUCUGGAGGAUGCUCAGGUGACUUACAACCACAUGUCGGUUGAAGGAGAGAUGGGGACGAGCAAAAUGGGGAAAAUCCUGGUCAUCUCUGAUGAGCAAACAGGCGACACUGUAAUUCAGGCAAUUCAUGAAACAACUCAGCCGCCUGGAAGUCAGCAGUCCCAGCACAGCCAUGAGGCCGGCAGGGAAGUGCUGGCUGAUGUCCCCGAGAUGUGUGCUGGAGCAGGUGCAGAAGUGCUGCAGGUGAUGACAUACCAGUCCUGGGACAGUGGCCAGGAGAGCAGAAGUGCAGAGAUGGCCUCGGGGCUCGUGCUCGCCUAUGACAUCCCCAACGACAUGCAGAGCGUGGCCUUACCCAGAGAAACGGUCAGUGAGGCUCAGCAGACACACAGUGUUAUUUCUCUAGACGAAGGUUCCUGGAUCAAGAGGAGAACAGGCAAAUUACUGAAGAACAAAAGCCAGCAGACGAGUGUCGCUGCUCUUCAGGAGAGCAGUGCCACUGCACAGGAGUGA
This 1962-nucleotide long non-coding RNA is filed under the name Anser brachyrhynchus (Pink-footed goose). Its description in RNAcentral is "lncRNA (ENSABRG00000023107.1)". The record is from RNAcentral. Lineage: Eukaryota; Metazoa; Chordata; Aves; Anseriformes; Anatidae.